GACAGAGGUGCCAAGCGUUAGGCGGAAUCACUGGGCUUAAAGCGUGUGUAGGCGGGUCGUUAAGUACCUUGUGAAAUCCCCCGGCUCAACCGGGGGACGGCUGGGUAUACUGGCGAUCUUGAGCCACCUAGGGGCAGUCGGAACAAGUGGUGGAGCGGUGAAAUGCGUAGAUAUCACUUGGAACGCCAAUGGUGAAAACAGACUGCUGGGGGUGUGCUGACGCUGAGACACGAAAGCCAGGGGAGCGAACGGG
RNAcentral lists this ribosomal RNA (253 nucleotides) under uncultured bacterium. Its description in RNAcentral is "partial 16S ribosomal RNA". It matches the Rfam family "Bacterial small subunit ribosomal RNA", at positions 524 to 776 of the family's 1533-position model. The record is from RNAcentral.